CCUACGGGAGGCAGCAGUGAGGAAUAUUGGUCAAUGGGCGGAAGCCUGAACCAGCCAAGUAGCGUGCAGGAUGACGGCCCUACGGGUUGUAAACUUCUUUUAUACGGGAAUAACGCGCCUUACGCGUAGGGCUUUGCAUGUACCGUAUGAAUAAGGACCGGCUAAUUCCGUGCCAACAGCCCCGGUAAUACGGAAGGUUCGGGCGUUAUCCGGAUUUAUUGGGUUUAAAGGGAUCGUAGGCCGCAUGUCAAGCGUGCUGUGAAAUGUCCGGGCUCAACCCGGGCCUUGCAGUGCAAACUGGCGUGCUUGAGGGCGCGGAAAGCAGGCGGAAUUCGUGGUGUAGCGGUGAAAUGCUUAGAUAUGACGAAGAACCCCGAUUGCGAAGGAAGCUUGCUGCAGCGGAACUGACGCUGAUGCUCGAAAGUGCGGGUAUCGAACAGGAUUAGAUACCCGGGUAGUC
Molecule: ribosomal RNA, 460 nt
Filed under: uncultured bacterium
Lineage: Bacteria
Description: partial 16S ribosomal RNA
Rfam family: Bacterial small subunit ribosomal RNA
Source: RNAcentral